Molecule: ribosomal RNA, 253 nt
Filed under: uncultured bacterium
Lineage: Bacteria
Description: partial 16S ribosomal RNA
Rfam family: Bacterial small subunit ribosomal RNA
Source: RNAcentral
UACGUAGGGGGCAAGCGUUGUCCGGAUUCACUGGGUGUAAAGGGUGCUCAGGCGGUUUUGUAAGUCAGGGGUGAAAGCCCGGAGCUCAACUCCGGAACUGCCUUUGAUACUGCAAGGCUUGAGUGCAGAAGAGGCGGAUGGAAUUCAAGGUGUAGCAGUGAAAUGCGUAGAUAUCUUGAAGAACACCAGUGGCGAAGGCGGUCCGCUGGUCUGUCACUGACGCUAAAGCACGAAAGCGUGGGGAGCAAACAGG